RNAcentral lists this ribosomal RNA (207 nucleotides) under uncultured bacterium. RNAcentral describes it as "partial 16S ribosomal RNA". It matches the Rfam family "Bacterial small subunit ribosomal RNA", at positions 568 to 774 of the family's 1533-position model. The record is from RNAcentral.
CGCGCAGGCGGCUGGUCAAGUCUGAUGUGAAAUCUCCCGGCUCAACUGGGAAACUGCAUCGGAAACUGAUCGGCUUGAAGGUGGGAGAGGGUAGUGGAAUUCCCGGUGUAGUGGUGAAAUGCGUAGAUAUCGGGAGGAACACCAGUGGCGAAGGCGACUACCUGGCCCAUUCUUGACGCUGAGGCGCGAAAGCUAGGGGAGCGAACG